GCUAACGCGUGAAACACUCCGCCUGGGGAGUACGGUCGCAAGACCGAAACUCAAAGGAAUUGACGGGGGCCUGCACAAGUGGUGGAGCAUGUGGUUUAAUUCGAAGCAACGCGCAGAACCUUACCAUCCCUUGACAUGGCAUGUUACCUCGAGAGAUCGGGGAUCCUCUUCGGAGGCGUGCACACAGGUGCUGCAUGGCUGUCGUCAGCUCGUGUCGUGAGAUGUUGGGUUAAGUCCCGCAACGAGCGCAACCCACGUCCUUAGUUGCCAUCAUUCAGUUGGGCACUCUAGGGAGACUGCCGGUGAUAAGCCGCGAGGAAGGUGUGGAUGACGUCAAGUCCUCAUGGCCCUUACGGGAUGGGCUACACACGUGCUACAAUGGCGGUGACAGUGGGACGCGAAGCCGCGAGGUGGAGCAAAUCCCCAAAAACCGUCUCAGUUCGGAUUGCACUCUGCAACUCGGGUGCAUGAAGGCGGAAUCGCUAGUAAUCGUGGAUCAGCACGCCACGGUGAAUACGUUCCCGGGCCUUGUACACACCGCCCGUCACACCAUGGGAGUUGGUCUUACCCGACGGCGCUGCGCCAACCGCAAGGAGGCAGGCGACCACGGUAGGGUCAGCGACUGGGGUGAAGUCGUAACAAGGUAACCA
RNAcentral lists this ribosomal RNA (650 nucleotides) under uncultured Methylobacterium sp. RNAcentral's name for it is "bacterial SSU rRNA". It matches the Rfam family "Bacterial small subunit ribosomal RNA", at positions 851 to 1502 of the family's 1533-position model. The record is from RNAcentral. Lineage: Bacteria; Pseudomonadati; Pseudomonadota; Alphaproteobacteria; Hyphomicrobiales; Methylobacteriaceae.